RNAcentral lists this ribosomal RNA (777 nucleotides) under uncultured bacterium. RNAcentral describes it as "bacterial SSU rRNA". It matches the Rfam family "Bacterial small subunit ribosomal RNA", at positions 63 to 802 of the family's 1533-position model. The record is from RNAcentral.
CGAGCGAGCUUGCCUAGAUGAUUUUAGUGCUUGCCUAAAUGAAACUAUAUACAGCGAGCGGCGGACGGGUGAGUAACACGUGGGUAACCUGCCCAAGAGACUGGGAUAACACCUGGAAACAGAUGCUAAUACCGGAUAACAACACUAGACGCAUGUCUAGAGUUUGAAAGUUGGUUCAGCUAUCACUCUUAGAUGGACCUGCGGUGCAUUAGCUAGUUGGUAAGGUAACGGCUUACCAAGGCAAUGAUGCAUAGCCGAGUUGAGAGACUGAUCGGCCACAUUGGGACUGAGACACGGCCCAAACUCCUACGGGAGGCAGCAGUAGGGAAUCUUCCACAAUGGACGAAAGUCUGAUGGAGCAACGCCGCGUGAGUGAAGAAGGGUUUCGGCUCGUAAAGCUCUGUUGGUAGUGAAGAAAGAUAGAGGUAGUAACUGGCCUUUAUUUGACGGUAAUUACUUAGAAAGUCACGGCUAACUACGUGCCAGCAGCCGCGGUAAUACGUAGGUGGCAAGCGUUGUCCGGAUUUAUUGGGCGUAAAGCGAGUGCAGGCGGUUCAAUAAGUCUGAUGUGAAAGCCUUCGGCUCAGCCGGAGAAUUGCGUCAGAAACUGUUGAACUUGAGUGCAGAAGAGGAGAGUGGAACUCCAUGUGUAGCGGUGGAAUGCGUAGAUAUAUGGAAGAACACCAGUGGCGAAGGCGGCUCUCUGGUCUGCAACUGACGCUGAGGCUCGAAAGCAUGGGUAGCGAACAGGAUUAGAUACCCUGGUAGUCCAUGCCG